ACCCGCUGAAUUUAAGCAUAUCAGUAAGCGGAGGAAAAGAAACUAACUAGGAUUGCCCCAGUAGCGGCGAGUGAACAGGCAAAAGCUCAAAUUGAAAAUCCUUGGCACGAUGUUAAGGAAUUGUAAUCUAGAGUGGUUCUCUGAGGGAAUGUGGGGUGGCAUAAGUUCCCUGGAACGGGACGUCAAAGAGGGUGAAAACCCCGUAGUCGGCCACGCCCGGAACCGAAGAGGGCUAACGAAGAGUCGGGUUGUUUGGGAUUGCAGCCCUAAAUGGGAGAUAAACUUCUUCUAAAGCUAAGUAUUUAUGGGAAACCGAUAGCGAACAAGUACUGCGAAGGAAAGGUGAAAAGAACUUUGAAAAGAGGGUUAAAAGACUUGAAAUCGUUGAGAAGAAAGUGGUAGAAGAGUAAUCAUUUGCGUUUGAUUUACAGGCGUAAACCAACCGGCUUGGCUGUGGUUCUAGUACUUCAUAGGCUGUCUGCGGUCAAGUAACGGAGGUGGCGCUGCUAUCAUGCGCAAGAGGCAAAGUGAAGUUUGACUGCUGGAGUAAACCUGCUGCACGACCAGGGCUUGCCUUGAGUCAGCGGGCAAAACAGCAGACGAGCUUGAGGGGCCUGCGGGCGACUUUGCCAAAGUGGCUUCUACUGUCCCGUCUUGAAACACGGACCAAGGAGUCUAUCCAAUAUGCGAGUGUUAGGGUGGAAAAACCCGAACGCAUAAGGAAACUGAGGACAAGUUGCCAACAGCAACAGCCGAUCUCUUUUCUCCGAAUUGAGACUCGAGCAAGAGCAUAUUUGAUAGGACCCGAAAGAUGGUGAACUUCGCUUGAGUAGGGUGAAGCCAGGGGAAACUCUGGUGAAAGCUCGAAGCGGUACUGACGUGCAAAUCGUUCGUCAAACUUGAGUGAAGGGGCGAAAGACUAAUCGAACCAUCUAGUAGCUGGUUCCCUCUGAAGUUUCUCUCAGGAUAGCUGGAACAACUAUAAGCAGUUUUAUUAGGUAAAGCGAAUGAUUAGAGGAAUCGGAGCUCAAAGAGUUUUGACCUAUUCUCAAACUUUAAAUUGGUAAGAGCCGGGGGUUGUAUCUUAAUUGAACCUUCGGGUAGAAUGCUUGUUCCAUGUGGGCCAUUUUUGGUAAGCAGAACUGGCGAUGAGGGAUGAACCUAACGCUGAGAUAAGGUGCCUAAAUCUGCAUUCAUGAGACCCCACAAAAGGUGUUGGUUCAUAUAGACAGCAGGACGGUGGCCCUGGAAGUCGGAACCCGCUAAGGAGUGUGUAACAACUCACCUGCCGAAUGAACUAGCCCUGAAAAUGGAUGGCGCUGAAGUGCAGUACCGAUACUCAGCCAUUGUGGCAAAUGUGAGGCCGCAAUGAGUAAGAGGGCGUGUCCGUCUCGUGUCGAAGCCUUUGGCGUGAGCCUGGGUGGAACGGCGGAUAGUGCAGAUCUUGGUGGUAGUAGCAAAUAUUCAAAUGAGAACUUUGAAGACCGAAGUGGGGAAGGGUUCCAUGAGAACAGCAAUUGGUCAUGGGUUACUCGAUCCUAAGGCAUAGGGCAAGUCCUUGUAAUGCAAGAAGGUGUAUACCUUCGCUGCCAAAAGGGAAUGGGGUUAAUAUUCCCCAAGUCGGCCGCGGAUAAUGUGUGGUAACACAAAUGAGCCCGCAGACAUCGGCAUGACCCCCUGGAAGAGUUGUCUUUUCUUUUUAACUGAUUGUGGCCCUGGAAUUGGAUUAUCCAGAGAUAGGGCUGUAAGUCAGGCAGAGCAGCUCACCCUAUGAGCUGUCAGGUGCGGUCAUGACGAUCCUUGAAAAUGCGGGGGAGAUAUUUAUAUCGCGCCGAAUCGUACCCAUAACCGCAUCAGGUCUCCAAGGUU
Molecule: ribosomal RNA, 1869 nt
Filed under: Cohnilembus verminus
Lineage: Eukaryota; Ciliophora; Oligohymenophorea; Philasterida; Cohnilembidae
Description: eukaryotic LSU rRNA
Rfam family: Eukaryotic large subunit ribosomal RNA
Source: RNAcentral